AACGAACGCUGGCGGCAGGCCUUACACAUGCAAGUCGAGCGCACCUUCGGGUGAGCGGCGGACGGGUUAGUAACGCGUGGGAACGUGCCCUUCUCUACGGAAUAGCCUCUGGAAACGGAGAGUAAUACCGUAUACGCCCUUUGGGGGAAAGAUUUAUCGGAGAAGGAUCGGCCCGCGUUAGAUUAGGUAGUUGGUGGGGUAACGGCCUACCAAGCCUACGAUCUAUAGCUGGUUUUAGAGGAUGAUCAGCAACACUGGGACUGAGACACGGCCCAGACUCCUACGGGAGGCAGCAGUGGGGAAUCUUAGACAAUGGGGGCAACCCUGAUCUAGCCAUGCCGCGUGAGUGAUGAAGGCCUUAGGGUCGUAAAGCUCUUUCGCCUGUGAUGAUAAUGACAGUAGCAGGUAAAGAAACCCCGGCUAACUCCGUG
Molecule: ribosomal RNA, 431 nt
Filed under: uncultured bacterium
Lineage: Bacteria
Description: bacterial SSU rRNA
Rfam family: Bacterial small subunit ribosomal RNA
Source: RNAcentral